CCCCAUUUCGAUACAGGUGCAUGAUAAUGGUCCAUUCUAAAUCAAAACUAAUUUGACACACAUAUAAUUUAGUAUAUGUAAAGACAAGAUUAAAUUAAGAAUAGUGUGAUGGGUGACAAUAUUAGCCUAUCACUUGUGGAUUAUGUAUUAUCACAUGCGAAUGACGCCCAGCUUGUGCAGUAAGGCGAGGAAUAACUCAUGCGUUUUUUUGCGACUUCUUCAAAUCGUAGGUCGCACACCGUAUGUAGCCCAGCCCAUAGGCCUAUAUGUUUUGAUAAGUUUUUUAUCACAACUAAAGUGGCCAAAUAACUCCUUAAAACGAAGCACAGGGAGCGCAGGUAGUCUAGUGGUUAGAGUGUAGGGGCGGCAGGUAGCCUAGUGGUUAGAGUGUAGGGCGGCAGGUAGCCUAGUGGUUAGAGUGUAGGGGCGGCAGGUAGCCUAGUGGUUAAAGC
Long non-coding RNA from Oncorhynchus tshawytscha (Chinook salmon), 452 nucleotides. Lineage: Eukaryota; Metazoa; Chordata; Actinopteri; Salmoniformes; Salmonidae. The record is from Ensembl.